UACGUAGGGGGCAAGCGUUGUCCGGAAUCAUUGGGCGUAAAGAGCGUGUAGGCGGUUCGGUAAGUCGGCUGUGAAAGUCCAGGGCUCAACCCUGGGAUGCCGGUCGAUACUGCCGGACUAGAGUUCGGAAGAGGCGAGUGGAAUUCCCGGUGUAGCGGUGAAAUGCGUAGAUAUUGGGAGGAACACCAGUGGCGAAGGCGGCUCACUGGACCGGUACUGACGCUGAUGCGCGAAAGCGUGGGGAGCAAACAGG
This 253-nucleotide ribosomal RNA is filed under the name uncultured bacterium. RNAcentral's name for it is "partial 16S ribosomal RNA". It matches the Rfam family "Bacterial small subunit ribosomal RNA", at positions 524 to 776 of the family's 1533-position model. The record is from RNAcentral.